Molecule: ribosomal RNA, 1510 nt
Filed under: uncultured bacterium
Lineage: Bacteria
Description: bacterial SSU rRNA
Rfam family: Bacterial small subunit ribosomal RNA
Source: RNAcentral
AGAGUUUGAUCAUGGCUCAGAACGAACGUUGGCGGCGUGGAUUAGGCAUGCAAGUCGAACGAAGACGGUCUUGUAGCAAUACCGGACCGGACUGAGUGGCGAAAGGGGCAGUAAGGCGUGGGUAACCUACCCUGGGGACCGGGAUAGCCUUCCUAACGGAUGGGUAAUACCGGGCGAUCUGCCGAGGGGGCAUCUCCUUGUCAGGAAAUGAGUUUCGCCUCGGGAGGGGCUCACGUGAUAUUAGCUAGUUGGCGGGGUAACGGCCCACCAAGGCAAAGAUGUCUAGCAGGUGUGAGAGCACGACCUGCGCCACUGGCACUGAGACACUGGCCAGACACCUACGGGUGGCUGCAGUCGAGGAUCUUCGGCAAUGGGGGCAACCCUGAUCCAGCGACGCCGCGUGGGUGAAGAAGGCCUGCGGGUUGUAAAGCCCUUUCGGUGGGGAUAAAAAGCCUUGGUCUAACACACCAGGGUCUUGAUCUAACCCAAGAAAGAAGCACCGGCUAACUCUGAGCCAGCAGCCGCGGUAAUACAGAGGGUGCGAGCGUUAAUCGGAAUUACUGGGCGUAAAGCGCACGUAGGUGGCUUUGCAAGUCGAUCGUGAAAUCCCCGGGCUUAACCUGGGAACUGCAGUCGAGACUGCUUUGCUUGAGUAUGGGAGAGGGAGGUGGAAUUUCCGGUGUAGCGGUGAAAUGCGUAGAUAUCGGAAGGAACAUCAGUGGCGAAGGCGACCUCCUGGACCAAUACUGACACUCAAGUGCGAAAGCGUGGGGAGCAAACAGGAUUAGAUACCCUGGUAGUCCACGCCAUAAACGAUGAGAACUGGAUGUCGGAGGGGUCUGCCCUUCGGUGUCGUAGCUAACGCGUUAAGUUCUCCGCCUGGGGAGUACGGCCGCAAGGUUGAAACUCAAAUGAAUUGACGGGGACCCGCACAAGCGGUGGAGCAUGUGGUUUAAUUCGAUGCAACGCGAAGAACCUUACCUGGCCUUGACAUCUGUCGAAUCCUUCAGAGAUGAGGGAGUGCCUUCGGGAACGACAAGACAGGUGCUGCAUGGCUGUCGUCAGCUCGUGUCGUGAGAUGUUGGGUUAAGUCCCGCAACGAGCGCAACCCUUGCCCUUAGUUGCCAGCAUUUAGUUGGGAACUCUAAGGGGACCGCCGGUGACAAACCGGAGGAAGGUGGGGAUGACGUCAAGUCAUCAUGGCCCUUAUGGCCAGGGCUACACACGUGCUACAAUGGUCGGUACAGAGGGUUGCCAAACCGUGAGGUGGAGCCAAUCCCAGAAAGCCGAUCGUAGUCCGGAUCGCAGUCUGCAACUCGACUGCGUGAAGUCGGAAUCGCUAGUAAUCGCGAAUCAGCGAUGUCGCGGUGAAUACGUUCCCGGGUCUUGUACACACCGCCCGUCACACCAUGGGAGUUGAUUGCACCAGAAGUAGGUAGCCUAACCGCAAGGGGGGCGCUUACCACGGUGUGGUCAAUGACUGGGGUGAAGUCGUAACAAGGUAACCGUA